Molecule: long non-coding RNA, 547 nt
Organism: Syzygium oleosum
Lineage: Eukaryota; Viridiplantae; Streptophyta; Magnoliopsida; Myrtales; Myrtaceae
Exons: 2
Source: RefSeq, a predicted model, not a curated record
UUGACAGUUUAUUUAUAUGCACUUCUCCAUUAUGAAAAUGGGUACAAGCAAAGAAAUGCAUGAAAUAAUUCCAGUACUGUCACUUUUUAUGCAGGAUUGAUUUUCAAUAAAAGUCUACAGUCAUUAGAGAUUGAUCUUCCUUUGGCAAGCAAGUUCAAUGUGGAAGCAAUUUGUGUAUCUGGUCUCCAAGGAUUUGUUUUUGUUAGGAGAAUUUUUGGAUUGAUCUUCAGUAAAAGUCUGCGGUCAUUAGAGAUUGAUCUUCCUUCGGCAAGCAAGUUCAAUGUGGAAGCAAUUUGUGUAUCUGAUCUCCAAGGAUUUGUUUUUGUCAGGAGAAUAUUUGGUUGUUAACAGAUUAGUAGUUGUUUUGUUUUUAGAUUCUAUUUACAAGAGUCCCUUUUUGGCGAUUAAGUUACUGAUUGUAGAUAUUUGGUUGCUUUUGUAUCUAUCCUCUAUGGCAUAUCGAAGGGAUGUAUAUAUGCACAUGAUGUCAGUUUUAAUUCUCUCCCUCUUGGGGGCUUUGAUGGAAGAGUUGGUCCACUUCUUGUAA